This 720-nucleotide ribosomal RNA is filed under the name uncultured anaerobic ammonium-oxidizing bacterium. RNAcentral describes it as "bacterial SSU rRNA". It matches the Rfam family "Bacterial small subunit ribosomal RNA", at positions 565 to 1274 of the family's 1533-position model. The record is from RNAcentral.
GAGCACGUAGGUGGGUUUGUAAGUCAGAUGUGAAAGCCUUCUGUUCAACGGAAGAAUUGCAUCUGAAACUGCGAGUCUUGAGUGUAGGAGGGGAGAAUGGAACUUCUGGUGGAGCGGUGAAAUGCGUAGAUAUCAGAAGGAACGCCGGCGGCGAAAGCGAUUCUCUGGCCUAUUACUGACACUCAGUGUGCGAAAGCUAGGGGAGCAAACGGGAUUAGAUACCCCGGUAGUCCUAGCCGUAAACGAUGGGCACUAAGUAGAGGGAAUUACCGAUAUUCUCUCUGCCGUAGCUAACGCAUUAAGUGCCCCGCCUGGGGAGUACGGCCGCAAGGCUAAAACUCAAAAGAAUUGACGGGGGCUCGCACAAGCGGUGGAGCAUGUGGCUUAAUUCGAUGCAACGCGAAAAACCUUACCGGGGCUUGACAUAGUAGAAGUAGGAACCCGAAAGGGUAACGAACGGUAUCCAGUCCGUAACUAUUACAGGUGUUGCAUGGCUGUCGUCAGCUCGUGUCGUGAGACGUUGGGUUAAGUCCCCUAACGAGCGAAACCCUUGUUUUUAGUUGCCAGCGGGUUAUGCCGGGCACUCUAGAAAGACUGCCGUCGUCAAGACGGAGGAAGGUGGGGACGACGUCAAGUCAUCAUGGCCCUUAUGCCCCGGGCUGCACACGUGCUACAAUGGCCGGUACAAACGGAAGCGAAGCCGAGAGGUGAAGCGAAUCC